AUGAAUGCACUGGUUAGCUCCAUGACCCGUGAACUUGAUUACUACUGGACACUGGGUGAGGUCCCUGACAAUGGUGAAACGUCAUGUGUCAUCUACAAAGUCCAGGAGCACAUUCGCAUGCUUAACAAUUUCUCAUACAAACCUUGCGUACUGUCAAUUGGGCCUUAUCACCAUGGAUCUCAGGCCCUACAGAAUGUACAGAAAGAGAAAUGGAGCUAUCUAGAUUAUAUUCUAAAAAUAAAAUGUGAUAAAAACUUGCUGGAUUACCUACUUGCACUUGAAGGCCUAGCAAAGCUAGCAAGGAAUUGCUAUUCGGAGGACAUUAAAAUGGACAGCGAAGAGUUUUUGCAAAUGCUGUAACUUGAUGGGUGCUUUGUCUUGGUAGCUCUUGGUGGAACAAGAUGUAUUUUAGCAGGCAUGGUGGAAAACGAAGGACAGAACAAACCUCAUUCUGAUGAUUCUAAUGGGGACAAUAAGACACAAAACCAAACUAUGGGUCAAGAAGAUGGUAAAGAUGACAGACAGGGGGAGGAACGCAGUACAUAUGAGGAUGAAAUUGGACCAUGGUUUUUCAGAUUUUUAAUUCAUGAUUUAUUCUUGCUGGAGAAUCAAAUACCUUUCUUCAUUGUGAAGGAGAUAUUCAAGGUAGUUGCUGGUGACAACAUCUGUAUUGAUGAACCAUUUACUGAUGAUAUAGCGAAGUAUGUGGAAGGUGCUUUGCGGUGGUUUCCAAAAUCAAUCCAAGAGCAUGAUAGGCCAAAAGACUUCCACCAUUUGCUUCAUUUGUGCCAUAUGUACUUCAAAGCCAAGUCGGAAAGAAGAGAACUAUCAAGCAGGGCCACUGUAUCUUCACAGAUUUCUUAA
RNAcentral lists this ribosomal RNA (864 nucleotides) under Triticum aestivum (bread wheat). RNAcentral's name for it is "partial small subunit ribosomal RNA". Lineage: Eukaryota; Viridiplantae; Streptophyta; Magnoliopsida; Poales; Poaceae. The record is from RNAcentral.